AACGCACAUUGCGCCCGCCAGUAUUCUGGCGGGCAUGCCCGUUCGAGCGUCAUUUCAACCAUCAAGCUCUGCUUGCGUUGGGGAUCCGCGGCUGCCCGCGGUCCCUCAAAAACAGUGGCGGGCUCGCUAGUCACACCGAGCGUAGUAACUCUACAUCGCUAUGGUCGUGCGGCGGGUUCUUGCCGUAAAACCCCCCAAUUUUUUUAAGGUUGACCUCGGAUCGGGUAGGAGUACCCGCUGAACUUAA
RNAcentral lists this unclassified non-coding RNA (247 nucleotides) under uncultured Sordariales. RNAcentral's name for it is "sequence contains 5.8S rRNA gene, ITS2, 28S rRNA gene". The record is from RNAcentral. Lineage: Eukaryota; Fungi; Ascomycota; Sordariomycetes; Sordariales.